Molecule: ribosomal RNA, 449 nt
Filed under: uncultured bacterium
Lineage: Bacteria
Description: partial 16S ribosomal RNA
Rfam family: Bacterial small subunit ribosomal RNA
Source: RNAcentral
AGCGAACGCUGGCGGCAGGCCUAACACAUGCAAGUCGAACGAAACCUUCGGGCUUAGUGGCGGACGGGUGAGUAACACGUGGGAACGUGCCCUUUGGUUCGGAACAACUCAGGGAAACUUGAGCUAAUCCCGGAUUCGCCCUUCGGGGGAAAGAUUUAUCGCCAUUGGAGCGGCCCGCGUAGGAUUAGCUAGUUGGUGGUGUAAUGGCCCACCAAGGCUCCGAUCCUUAGCUGGUCUGAGAGGAUGAUCAGCCACACUGGGACUGAGACACGGCCCAGACUCCUACGGGAGGCAGCAGUGGGGAAUCUUGCGCAAUGGGCGAAAGCCUGACGCAGCCAUGCCGCGUGAAUGAUGAAGGUCUUAGGAUUGUAAAAUUCUUUCACCGGGGACGAUAAUGACGGUACCCGGAGAGGAAGCCCCGGCUAACUUCGUGCCAGCAGCCGCAGUAA